This 433-nucleotide long non-coding RNA is filed under the name Olea europaea (common olive). RNAcentral's name for it is "long non-coding RNA (OEUR_LNC009436)". The record is from RNAcentral. Lineage: Eukaryota; Viridiplantae; Streptophyta; Magnoliopsida; Lamiales; Oleaceae.
CAAAGUCAUUUUUUGAUUGGUAAAUAAAUGUAUUGAUCAAAAUUCUGAGUGCACGGACAUCCCCAUGCGUACACAAUGAACUUCACAAUUGGAAGGCAAGGAUUUAUUCUUGGAAGACAAGUGGGAACUUGGAAGGCAAGAAUUAUUCUUGGAAGGCAAGGUGCAACUUGAAUUGGCUUGUUUGGCACUUUGUCAGACCAGGUGGGGAGCGCUCGGACCCUGGCCAGUUGGAGGCACAUCCUGCGAUUAACCGGACUGUGUGAAGAGGGGCCGGAUCACAGACCCAAGGAUUAGUCUAGAAUAGGACACCUUGUAAAAAAAAAAAAAAAAAAUGAACUUCACAAUUGGUCUAAAGAUCCAUAACAAGAAAUUGAAAAUCAAUCAAAACAUGACAGCUUCGUCUAAUUAUCACUAAGGCUACCUUCGAAAAUUG